GAUGAACGCUAGCGAUAGGCUUAACACAUGCAAGUCGAGGGGCAGCGAGGGUAGCAAUACCUGUCGGCGACCGGCGCACGGGUGAGUAACGCGUAUGUAACCUGCCCGCAACAGGGGGAUAACCCGGCGAAAGUCGGACUAAUACCGCAUAAAACAGGGGUCCCGCAUGGGAAUAUUUGUUAAAGAUUUAUCGGUUGCGGAUGGGCAUGCGUACCAUUAGGUAGUUGGUGAGGUAACGGCUCACCAAGCCCUCGAUGGUUAGGGGUUCUGAGAGGAAGGUCCCCCACACUGGUACUGAGACACGGACCAGACUCCUACGGGAGGCAGCAGUGAGGAAUAUUGGUCAAUGGGCGAGAGCCUGAACCAGCCAAGUCGCGUGAAGGAUGACUGCCCUAUGGGGUGUAAACUUCUUUUACAAGGGAAUAAAAUGAGAUACGUGUAUUUUAAU
RNAcentral lists this ribosomal RNA (448 nucleotides) under Tannerella forsythia. RNAcentral's name for it is "bacterial SSU rRNA". It matches the Rfam family "Bacterial small subunit ribosomal RNA", at positions 28 to 470 of the family's 1533-position model. Lineage: Bacteria; Pseudomonadati; Bacteroidota; Bacteroidia; Bacteroidales; Tannerellaceae. The record is from RNAcentral.